UGUCUGGUUCAGGAAACCCGACCGACCCUAUUUUUUACCCGCCGACCCUAAACUUUUUUUUCGAAAUCGCGGCCGAAAACCGCUAUACUGCGUAUUGAAAAUUUUCUUUUCUGUAGUUAUUGCUCUUUGGGUUAAUAGAGCGCGUUUAUAUCGAUCUUUGGGUUAAUAGAGCGCACAACAAUGGCGGCGCCCAUGGCGUGUUCACCAGCCACUUUGAUGGCCAUAAAACUCCAAAAAUGUGAACAUGGAGCAGAGCGGCAGGUCAUGAAAGCGGUCCAGCAUGGUUGCCUAGCUAAUGCCUUAUAUGAUUUUGUGCAACACCACUCACAAUGUGCAUUUGUUACAAUGACAGAAUUCACAAAAGAGAUGUAUUAAAGUGACUUAUCUUUACAAGAUAUUUUAAACAAAAUUGUCGACAGAAAUCUUUAAAAAAUGGAAUUUUUAUAAAAUACUAGGUUGUACAUGAAUCUCUUUUGUGAACUCUUUGUGCAGGUUAGCAUUGUACAGAGGGUGACUAAAAGGCAUAGGGUACAUAAACAGCAAGCAUAGAAAAGGAAAAUAAUGUGAAUAAACAAAGAUGAUACAUGGUAUCUGAUGUUGUGUGUUGGCAGAAAUGCAGAGUGAUACCACCAGUCACCUGAGCCACCUUUCCCCUCACAGACGAGAGACUCGUCUGUCAGUGACAGUAGUUUCCAGAGUAGCACUGAAUUGCAUGAAGCCUUACAAACUUAAGCAGCCAUCCACUGACAGGCUGGAGUGAUUUGGAUUUCCAAUGCCACAUUUACCUUUGUGCUCAGUGACAAGCUGGCGCUUAGCUGCCAUGUCUGAUGAUCCUCAUUGAGUUUAAUGGUGUUUCUACUGGCCUUAUCAUCAAGUCUCUGCAUAUGACUUCUUGCAGUAGCUGAGAUAUCCAUAUAUGUGAGAAGCACAUUUGCCUUUGUUAUUCCAGCAGGCAUUUCCCUAAACCCAGAACCAAGAAACGUGUUUAUUGUGGCUCCCUUGCCAUCUUUGCACUCGCUAUACUGGCGUAAGUUACGGUGCACCAGGCAGGUCUUCCUGAUUUGGAAUCCACAUCUUCAGCUGAACUGCGGCAAGGAAUAAAAUCAGACUCCUUAGCAGCAUGGUGAGCUUUGUUUGUUUCCAGGAUGGCAAACUCCACCAGACUUCCUGAGUUUGAGCUUUUUAUGUAUUUUUUACAAAAAGUUACUUAGUGGAAUCACAACUGUGACACCUUUGGAGACUAGAUACAAAUUGAGGAACCAUGAUGUGUAGAAAGCCUUUAGGAUGCUUUAAAAUCAGAUAGGUAAACAGGAUUCUCCUGGAUCAUAAGACACCUUGUGGACAUUAAUUUCUUUUCUUGGGUAAGGGCAGAUGGAGUAUGUAAGAAAGAGAUACAGAUAAGAAAGUUAACACUGUUUUACAAGGUUUAUUUGUUUGUCUUUAAUCACCACUUUGAAGCUCAUGGUUGUCUAUCUAUUAUAAAUGCUAGAUUAAUAUUUCUCAUUUGUUCUCAUUAUUCAAAUAUUGAAAUGCAUGAUUUUUAUUGAACAUUUAAAGUAUUUCUAUCAUAAAACUCUAUUAAACUCAUUUUAAAUGGUGUGAAGGGACUAAAUCAGGGACAAGGGAUCCAUUUCUCAGAAAAGGUAGCUGUCUCACUAGAGGGCCUUAAGUUUCCAUUGUUGAAUAUCACUGCCUUUAAAUUGCUGUUGCAGGACAGUUUUUAAGAGCUUUGAUACACACUUAAAGUUGUACUCUAACAGAUUGACAGCUUUGUCAGGUUUUUUCAUUUUUGUCUCAGAAUCAGCUGAUUUUGGUAUCAAUGCCUUCACUUCACUCAUAUAACGUAAUACUCACAAUACAACAGAUCUCAAUUGUUUGAAACAAGGCCAAAAAUUUCAAUUUUCUUAAAGUGUUUGUUUUCACAAAAAAUAGCUCAUUCCAAGACAUAAAAAGUUGUCGAAACAGUCAAUCUGUGUUCGUGCAAAUUUAAAAGUUAGGAAAAGUGAAAGUAAAGAAGUGAAGGUUUGCAUAAAGGUGUCGGCACACAACAAAAUGCUUUCGGUUAUAAUGUAUACCCUCAAGUAGUUAACUUAAAUACCUUGUUUCUCCUCAUUUAGGUAGCAUUUGUUAAUAUGUUUAAUGCUUUCUUGAAUGUAUGUAAAAGUUUUCAUACGAUUUACAUCAUAAUUUAAGACAUUACGCGUUAUAAUGAGGUUUUGAAUGAUAUUUUGCAGGAUUUUCUUUGGUGGAUGGAUUUAGAGAUGAACCCAUAGAUAUGGCCAUUACAGUAUCAAAUGGAUGUUAUAGUGACUUUAAACAAAUGAUGAUAUAAAAAAACAAAACUAUCUUGAUUAGGGUUUCGGGUGUUUAAUAAAUCAACAGACAAUGUGUUCAUAAUUUGUGGAAUAAUAGUGUUCAAGCUUUAAAAAAAUUCUGCGAAUUCGUAAUAUAAAAGGGAAAAGGAGUAAUUUUACAUAAAACAAAAAGGGAAUUUCAUUAUUAAAGAAUCAUGUGUGAUCAUGUAAUUCAUGUUUUAUUUCUCGGUUGUAAUAGAGCAGUUUUCUUAUAUACACACAUGUAAUUGAUAUAAAUCUUAUUUGAAUUUUUUAAUUGGUUCAAUGAAGAAUAAGGUUACGGUUCCUAUUGGUUAACUUAGUUGAUACAGACGUUUGCAUUUCAUUUGGUUCAAUAAACAUGUGAAGGUUUGCCUAGUAACCUAUUUCUGUAUGUGUUACUGACAAAGACUUCUACCUACAGGGCUUCACAGUCUUGGAUGAGAGCAUGGCUUGGGUAACAGAUGCUGGGAGCCAGUCACAAGAGGAGGAGGUCGGGACACAGAUGCUGGGAGCCAGUCACAAGAGGUGGAGGGCGGGACACAGA
Molecule: long non-coding RNA, 2880 nt
Organism: Mya arenaria
Lineage: Eukaryota; Metazoa; Mollusca; Bivalvia; Myida; Myidae
Exons: 4
Source: RefSeq, a predicted model, not a curated record